UGCUCCCAUGGUCAAACUCACAAACACGUUCUGGGACUAAACACAGCUAUAUACAUACCCAACAGCAGUGGAGAAGCUACCAGCAGCUUCAAAAGGUUUACAUCAUACCUCCCCCCAUCCUCAUCAAUUAUUAUUCUAUCCCAUUCCUUGGCUCUCAUCCGGCUGCUGGGAGGUACUUGGAUGCAGGGGAUGCUGCAGCACUGUCAAGGGCAUUAUGAGGCAGGCCUAGAUCUAGAGCGCCCUCCCUGCUCAACACACAGGCACCCUCACUACAGUGUUGGUGCAGCAGGCAAGAGACAAUAGAGUCCAUGAACUCCUGGGCUGGGCUGGGCUGCCCUAGUUAUGAAGAGAUACAUCAGGAUCUUUGAAAGAGUCUACUAUCCCAGCACUGUCAUUCCCAGGAUCCAAAGCUACCAGUGUUAAUUAGUUCCCGUGAUGUGAUGGAUGACAAGCGGCAGGGCCAGGAAUGACACAAGCAGAUUGUGCUCAAAAUAAGCCAUCCCUCACCAUCAAGGGCAGAGGAAAGGAAUUUGGAAAGGACAGGAGCUGAGCACACUGCUGCGAGAUGGCAGCAUAUCACAGCUCAACGAGUACCCAGACAUCUACCUGCACAUGCCCAGAGUGCAGAGC
This is a long non-coding RNA of Pezoporus occidentalis (night parrot), 630 nucleotides long. RefSeq lists it as uncharacterized. The transcript has 2 exons. NCBI's taxonomy places the organism in Eukaryota, Metazoa, Chordata, Aves, Psittaciformes, Psittacidae. The record is from RefSeq and is a predicted model, not a curated record.